This 318-nucleotide long non-coding RNA is filed under the name Chinchilla lanigera (long-tailed chinchilla). RNAcentral's name for it is "lncRNA (ENSCLAG00000022496.1)". The record is from RNAcentral. Lineage: Eukaryota; Metazoa; Chordata; Mammalia; Rodentia; Chinchillidae.
ACAGCACCCCAGCCCAGUGGGUCUGUGGCCCCGCUGACCAUCCUGGGCAGGCAGAGGAUCAAAGCAAGCCACAGGCCCACCCCAGUGCCACAUGCCAGGGCACAGCAGAACACCUGGAAACAGCUGUGUGUCUGUGCCUUCAGCAGGACACAAAUAAAGCAGAAAAACCCGCUGUUGAGGCCCAAGAAGUGUCGAUAGCCUGCUAUGCAGAAGCCACAAAACUUAACAUUAAGUCAACACCAUUCCAGAAGAUGGACAAUGAAACAAUAAUAGUCUUACAUUCCAAUAAAAUUAAGAAUCAUUAAACUUCAUGUGAAU